This 258-nucleotide ribosomal RNA is filed under the name uncultured bacterium. RNAcentral's name for it is "partial 16S ribosomal RNA". It matches the Rfam family "Bacterial small subunit ribosomal RNA", at positions 793 to 1050 of the family's 1533-position model. The record is from RNAcentral.
GUCCACACUGUAAACGCUGUCUACUAGCUGUGUGUGUCUAUAAGACGUGCGUAGCGAAGCUAACGCGAUAAGUAGACCGCCUGGGGAGUACGGCCGCAAGGUUAAAACUCAAAUGAAUUGACGGGGGCCCGCACAAGCGGUGGAGCAUGUGGUUUAAUUCGAUGCAACGCGAAGAACCUUACCUACACUUGACAUGCACAGGAGGCUGAAGAGAUUUGGCUGUGCCUUUGGGAGCUGUGACACAGGUGCUGCAUGGCU